GACGAACUCUGGCGGCGUGCUUAACACAUGCAAGUCGAACGGAAAGGCCUCUUUCGGGGGGUACUCGAGUGGCGAACGGGUGAGUAACACGUGAGUAACCUGCCCUUGACUUUGGGAUAACUUCAGGAAACUGGGGCUAAUACCGGAUAGGAGCUCCUGCUGCAUGGUGGGGGUUGGAAAGUUUCGGCGGUUGGGGAUGGACUCGCGGCUUAUCAGCUUGUUGGUGGGGUAGUGGCUUACCAAGGCUUUGACGGGUAGCCGGCCUGAGAGGGUGACCGGCCACAUUGGGACUGAGAUACGGCCCAGACUCCUACGGGAGGCAGCAGUGGGGAAUAUUGCACAAUGGGUGGAAGCCUGAUGCAGCAACGCCGUGUGCGGGAUGACGGCCUUCGGGUUGUAAACCGCUUUCGCUCAUGACGAAGCUUUGUGUGACGGUAGUGGGUAAAGAAGCACCGGCUAACUACGG
RNAcentral lists this ribosomal RNA (466 nucleotides) under uncultured bacterium. RNAcentral's name for it is "partial 16S ribosomal RNA". It matches the Rfam family "Bacterial small subunit ribosomal RNA", at positions 28 to 506 of the family's 1533-position model. The record is from RNAcentral.